RNAcentral lists this ribosomal RNA (253 nucleotides) under uncultured bacterium. Its description in RNAcentral is "partial 16S ribosomal RNA". It matches the Rfam family "Bacterial small subunit ribosomal RNA", at positions 524 to 776 of the family's 1533-position model. The record is from RNAcentral.
UACGAAGGGUGCAAGCGUUACUCGGAAUUACUGGGCGUAAAGCGUGCGCAGGCGGUUCGUUAAGUUCGUCGUGAAAGCCCCGGGCUCAACCUGGGAACUGCGAUGGAAACUGGCGGGCUUGAGUAUGGCAGAGGGGGGUGGAAUUCCGCGUGUAGCAGUGAAAUGCGUAGAGAUGCGGAGGAACACCGAUGGCGAAGGCAGCCCCCUGGGCCAAUACUGACGCUCAGGCACGAAAGCGUGGGGAGCAAACAGG